This 1294-nucleotide unclassified non-coding RNA is filed under the name Leishmania donovani. RNAcentral describes it as "gene:LdHU3.17.1380(CDS-product:hypothetical_prote in_conserved)". The record is from RNAcentral. Lineage: Eukaryota; Euglenozoa; Kinetoplastea; Trypanosomatida; Trypanosomatidae.
AAGAUAGCAUCGCUCACCUUUCACACUACAGAAUAGCUUGCUUUGCGAUGUCGUUCAGUACCAAGUUCGCGAUGUGGUGGGGGAGUGUUACCACCAAGACCGAAAAGCUCUUCAACAAGGAAAAGGAACGUCUGGUCACCCACGAGUACUACGACAACCCGAACCCAAAGUAUGCUCGGCCGAAGAGCAUCCACUCGAUUCGCGGUAGCAUGCGAGCAUCGGCAAGCUUACAAAACAGUAAUGGCAAUGCGAAACGCUCCAGGUCGUUUCGCCAGCAGGAGGCAAACGAGUCGGGGAAUGAUGCAGAUCAGAUGCCGAUGGGCAGCGACCCGGGAUACGGCGGCGUGCGGCAGGCUCCGUACACGCAAAACUACAACGAUAUGCAGCAGUACCCGCAGGGUCAACAGUACACGCCAGGCCCGCAGUAUAUACACCAGCAGCAUCAGGGGCAUUCAAAUCGAGGGUAUGGUCAAGUCUACUAGCGGACGGAGUGCGCUCGCGGAAAAGAGACUCAUUCAUACUUUUUUUUUACAUUGCUUCCUUUAUUGUGCAUUUUGCUUCAGCUUUUGGAACUCAUUGUUGGUACCGUUUACGCGCUGGAGUUGUAGUUUUAUUGCUUGUGCUUGCCUGCGCCCAAUCGAGGUUGGGCAUGCAGCUGUCUCACUUUGCUUUCUCUUUUUACGCUUUCUUGUGCUCUCUGUUCUCCCCUCAUCUUUCUUCCUCUUUUUUUCGUCCCUCUGUGAAAACUUACUCUUCAUACAUUAUGAGGUUAGUGCUACCUAUCCUGCUUUUUUUUUAGGACUGUCUCCGUCACCCUUAUUGCCCAUCUGCAUGCAUGCGUGAUGGUUCUUUGUGUAUUGUGCAAAGGUGAGCACCAUUAGGUCUUUCUACGCAAUCCAUGUGAUAACCUACGUAGGCCACUUCGCCGGCAGCCAUUAGGUGCAAAAGAACCGGGAUGAACUGUACUGGAUGGGCGAAGCAGUACCUUCACGAAGCUGCUCACGGCUGUGGCAAGUAACCGUUGCAUGCUGAGCGUUUUUUUUUCGUUGACGUGAGUGUAUAUAUAUAUAUAUAUAUAUAUAUAUAUAUAUUCUUUUGUCACCUUCUCCUUUUUAUGCGGUCUACCUCCUUUGGGUUGUGAAAAAAAAAAAAUCUAUGUGUAUAUCUCUUGAUAAAAAAAAAGAUAUGGUAAUAGAAGGAUGACAAAAGUGCACGCUCUGGCCAUCAGUGUUGCCCGUGACUUCUACCCCAAGCGAAGAACUGUACCGGUGGGCGAACUCGUGGCAGCUCAUUG